Molecule: ribosomal RNA, 450 nt
Filed under: uncultured bacterium
Lineage: Bacteria
Description: partial 16S ribosomal RNA
Rfam family: Bacterial small subunit ribosomal RNA
Source: RNAcentral
GUGGGGAAUCUUCCGCAAUGGACGAAAGUCUGACGGAGCGACGCCGCGUGAGUGAAGAAGGCCUUCGGGUCGUAAAGCUCUGUCAUCAGGGACGAACGGCCGGUGGAGUGGAAAGCCACCGGAUUGACGGUACCUGAGAAGGAAGCCACGGCUAACUACGUGCCAGCAGCCGCGGUAAUACGUAGGUGGCAAGCGUUGUCCGGAAUUAUUGGGCGUAAAGCGCGCGCAGGUGGGAUCUUAAGUCCAUUUUUAAAGUUCGGAGCUCAACUCCGUGAUGGGAUGGAAACUGGGAUUCUUGAGUACCGGAGAGGAAAGCGGAAUUCCCCGUGUAGCGGUGAAAUGCGUAGAUAUGGGGAGGAACACCAGUGGCGAAGGCGGCUUUCUGGACGGUGUCUGACACUGAGGCGCGAAAGCUAGGGGAGCGAACGGGAUUAGAUACCCUUGUAGUCC